Molecule: ribosomal RNA, 413 nt
Filed under: uncultured bacterium
Lineage: Bacteria
Description: bacterial SSU rRNA
Rfam family: Bacterial small subunit ribosomal RNA
Source: RNAcentral
ACUCGGAAACGGCAUUGAAUACUACUUGGCUGGAGGGUCGGAAGGGAGACUGGAAUUCUCGGUGUAGCGGUGAAAUGCGUAGAUAUCGAGAGGAACACCAGUGGCGAAGGCGAGUCUCUGGACGACACCUGACACUGAGGCACGAAAGCUAGGGGAGCAAACAGGAUUAGAUACCCUGGUAGUCCUAGCCGUAAACGGUGCACAUUUGCCGUGAGAGGAAUCGACCCCUUUCGUGGCGUAGCCAACGCGUUAAAUGUGCCGCCUGGGAAGUACGGUCGCAAGAUUAAAACUCAAAGAAAUUGACGGGGGCCCGCACAAGCGGUGGAGUAUGUGGCUCAAUUCGAUGCAACGCGAAGAACCUUACCAGGCCUUGACAUGCAUCUCUAAGUUGGUGAAAGCCAGCGAGUCCCGAA